Molecule: long non-coding RNA, 2184 nt
Filed under: Phascolarctos cinereus (koala)
Lineage: Eukaryota; Metazoa; Chordata; Mammalia; Diprotodontia; Phascolarctidae
Description: lncRNA (ENSPCIG00000036479.1)
Source: RNAcentral
AUGAGAUGGAUUGUCAAGAUGGCUUCUUAUUGGACAAUCUGCACAGUGCCUGGGCCUCACCCAAGCACUUCCCCAUUAGCAAGCACUUUCCUCCUUUGCUCUUUAGCCAUUGGCUCUCCUCCCACAAACACACUCUGUUUUCUUCUCUGCAUUUCCCACAGAUAUUCACAAUGUUCUUCUCCCUCGUUUUCUUCAGUCCACUAUUAUUUUCCCUUUGUUAUUCUGUCCCCAUCCCUAGUGGCUCCUUUCUUUUCUCUCUCACCUUUUCCUCCCUUCUCUACUGGUAUGUUUCAUCUCCCCCCUUCCUCACCUCCCAUGACAUCUUCCUUUUGUCUCUCCCCACUUCUCUUUUUCCAAUGGUCCCUUCCAUCUUUCUCCCUCCCUCUUCUUCCUAACCCACGGUUCUUUCCCUUUGUCUCUCCCCAUAUCCCAUUUCCAGUUAUACCUUCCCAUUUUCUCUCACCCUUUUCUACCCCCCCAAUGGCGUCUUCCUUCUCUUCCCCUCCAACCUCUAUGGUCUCUUCUCUUUGUCAUCCUCACUCUCCUUUUUUCAGUGGUUUCUUCUUUCAUUCUCUUUCCCUAUUGCCUAAUCAAUGGUCCAUUUUCUUAGACCAUUUCCUCCAUCCCCAUCCCUAUUCACCUUUUUUUUAUUUUCUCUCUCCCUUCUCCACCUGUCAGUGCUUUCUCCUUUUUAUUGCCUCUCUCCCUUCUCCAGCUGGCAGUGCUUUCUUCCUUCUUCCUCCAUCCCCUCUCUUCUCUUCCUUUCGUCUCAUCACCUCCUUGUCCUUUCCCAAGGGACCCUUGCCUCUUUUUUCUCUCUUAAAUACCCAGGGGUAUUUCUCUUUGCCCCCUGCCUCUAUCCAUAUAGAUUCCUUCUCACUGUCUCACUCCUCCUUGUUUAGUGCUGUCUUCCUUUUCCCUCCCUUUAUUUCCCUCCAUCCCCUCAUGUUGUCCCCCUCCCUUUCUUUCCCAAUAAUCUCUUCCCUCUGCCUCUCUCCCCUCUUCCUAGUGAGCUUUCCUUUUAUUCUCUCUGUCUCUCUGUCUCCUCCUCUUGUAAUCUUUGUCUCUCUCUCACACACACCAAUAUUAAUAUUAUUAUAUGUAAUAUAUCAUGUCAUUAUAUGUAAUAAUAUGUUAUCAUAUUAACAUAUUAUUUAUAUUAUAUGUAAUAUAAUAACAUUAUUUAGAGCUCAGUGGACCUUAGGGGCUCAUCUUUUUAGAGCACCAGAAAUGGAGGUUUAGACAGUUUAAAUGACUUGCCCAGGGUCAUAUACCUAAUAAGUUUGUGAGGAAGGAUUUCAAGUGCGAUCAUCCUGUCUCCAAGUAUUCUGCUAGGAGAGCUGGCUGCUUCUCCCCACUCAAGGACCCUUUGCUACUUGUCUCUGCUGACUAGGUAUCUCUCCUACUUAGUGGCCUAUUAUUUCUAAGUCUUUUACCCUCAGCUCUCACCCAUCUCAAGGGCUUUCUUUGCCCUCUGUCAUUCAGAGGACCACAUACUUGCAGUGGAAUGAUGGGAAAUAAGGCCAGCAACAUCAUUCACAGAAAAGGAACUGAAGCUUGGGUCUGGCCUUUUCACUCCCUUAUUUGGCCGCCUCCCCUGCCCCACAUCUGGAAUUGUCCUUCCUCUUCCUGUCUCUCUUACUCUUAGUCCCCCAGCACUCACACGAACCCCUAUUCCCUUGGCCUCUGGUCUCACACCCCAAUCAACUACCUACAGUUGAUUUCUGCUUCUUCUGUCUAUUUGUGUGUCCUUUCCUCUUGCUGCUUCUCCAUCUCUGUGUCUCUCCACUGAUCCCUCCACCUUGCUCUGGAAUCUCCUAAUUGAUACUUCCCUUCCAAUCUAUCCUUUUUCUCCAUCUGCUCUAUUUUCCUCCUGUCUCUCUUCCCUCCUCAGAAAGCUAUUAGGUGACUGGUACUGGCACUAAAUGAGAGGUGGCCAUUAUCUUUUUUUCUUUUUUCUAAAAUUAAUUAAUUAAUUUUUAGUUUUCAACAUUCACUUCCAUAAGAUUUUGAGUUUUCAAUUUUCUCUCCCUCUCCUCCCCCCCCCAUCUGAUUUAGGCUCUACUUAUACAUUCAUAUUAAACAUAUCUUCCCAUUAGUCAUGAUGUAAAGAACAGUUAGAACUAAUGGGAGGACCCAUGAGAAUGAAGCAAUAAAACAAAACAACAAAGGAAAAGGAGAGCA